UACGUACUACAUGCCGGACCCAUCCGAA
RNAcentral lists this small RNA (28 nucleotides) under Bombyx mori (domestic silkworm). RNAcentral's name for it is "ovarian small RNA-21152". Lineage: Eukaryota; Metazoa; Arthropoda; Insecta; Lepidoptera; Bombycidae. The record is from RNAcentral.